RNAcentral lists this ribosomal RNA (254 nucleotides) under uncultured bacterium. RNAcentral describes it as "partial 16S ribosomal RNA". It matches the Rfam family "Bacterial small subunit ribosomal RNA", at positions 524 to 776 of the family's 1533-position model. The record is from RNAcentral.
CACGUAGGCACCAAGCGUUGUCCGGAUUUAUUGGGCGUAAAGAGCUCGUAGGCGGUUCAGUAAGUCGGGUGUGAAAACUUUGGGCUUAACCCAAAGCGUGCAUCCGAUACUGCUGUGACUUGAGUACGGUAGGGGAGCGGGGAAUUCCUAGUGUAGCGGUGAAAUGCGCAGAUAUUAGGAGGAACACCGGUGGCGAAGGCGCCGCUCUGGGCCGAAACUGACGCUGAUGCGCGAAAGCUAGGGGAGCGAACGGG